Molecule: non-coding RNA, 2138 nt
Organism: Microcebus murinus (gray mouse lemur)
Lineage: Eukaryota; Metazoa; Chordata; Mammalia; Primates; Cheirogaleidae
Source: RefSeq, a predicted model, not a curated record
AAGAGAAACUGAAGUCCAGGGACCAUGAAUUCCUGAUAGAAAGUCAGCUGGCGAAGCCACUGGCCAGAUGAACCUGCUUCAGAUGUCGUCCUCACUUUGCUUCUCCCACCACAGCACCUCCCCAACUCUGGGCUCUCAUUUGGUAUCACUGGUGCCAUCAGGAUCGACCAGGGCUGGCUGUGCCCGUCAGCUGCUGGGCUGCUCUUCAGUGAGGCUUGGAAGUUCCAGCAAAAGCCCUGCCUUUGAGCCAGAACCCCUCUGCCACCGUCCGAACGUGGAUCCUUUGUAGUGGAGACAAAAAGCAAGUGGCACCCUGGCUGGGCCCAUCCCUCAGCUGAGAAUUCCAAGUAACGCUUCAUCAUCGCGAGUGCACUGCGCCGCUUUAAUGCCUGGCGGAGCAUGAAUUGUAAACACGUCAUUACACUUAAAAGCUGCCCUGAGAUGACGGCUGCAGGAGAACCGGCCCUGAAGAAAAGAGGGGUUUGGCUGAAAAUGAGCUGCUGAAUAAUUGAUCACGAAUUGAAAAGUCAAUACCUUAAGUGAGGCACGGUGAAGCUCCAGAACUUGGAGGUAAACACUGUGAGGCUGUAAUGUUUUAGAGAACAUGGCCAAAAGCAAUAGCUCUUUGGAAGGAGCAGGAGGCAAACAGACCCCAGCCGAGGGUGGGCUGAGCCUGACUGCGGGUGGAGGCGGGGUGGGGCCUGAAAGGAGACGCAGAGCAGAGCUGGCCUUGGAGGCUGCUCCAUCUUAGCUGGAGGAGAGGAGAGGCCAGAACGGAGUUGGGGAACAGCUGAGAACAAAAUGAGCGAUGCUAAGCAGGAGUCCCAAGAAGACUCGACCAUGGGCCCAGGAAAGCUUCCUGGAGGAGAGAGGACCCAGGCCUGGAAGGGAGGAUUUGAUUGAGGGAGGUGAGGGGACUCUCAUCAGAUGAGCUGUUAAGGUAUCGCAGGAGAGGGGCUGAAGAGGCUGGUGUUGGGUGCAGGUUGAAGAACACCAUGGAGAAGAAUGGCAACUCAUUGAAGUUCAAAAUGGGAACCACUGCAGAUUCUUUGACAGGACAUUAACAUUCAUUCAUCAAUAUUCAGCAUAUGCUUGAGUAGCUAAGUUCCACAUUCUGGGCUGGUGCUAAGCACAGGUCCCCAGCCUCCCAGGACUUACAUUCCAGUGAGGGAGACAGAUAACCAAAACAUAGUCUUCACAUGUAUUGUCCUUAGUGUUCUAUAUGCACCAGCUCAAUCUUCGCCAUGAGGUUAAGAGCUGGGCGAAAUAAUUAUCUCCAUUUUACAGAUGGAGAAACUAAGGCUUAGAGCGGUUCAGUAAUUUGUCCAAGGCAACCCAGCUAGUAAAUGAUGGAGCUGCCGCUGCAGCCUGAGAUUAUAUAGUUAUGAUUUGGGGCUAAAUGUUUAUGUGGGGAAGUGUACGGGGGCGUGGGCCAGUGUUGCAUACCUGGCUCUGUUUAGCGGCCCAGGAAGCCUUUCUAGACAAAGGAGCUAAGAUGAAACCUGAUGAGCUGGGGUGAUGUGGGCGGUAAGAGUGGCUUGUGCAAGGGCCUGGGAGUGGCCAGAGAGGGAGGGAGGGAGGAGAGGCCAGAUCUGGCAGAUCUUUGAAGGCAUGUCAAGGGGCCCAGAUUUCAUCCUGAGGGCAGUAAGAAGCUGAUGAAGGGCUCUAAGAGGGGAGGGAUGGAGAGUGCAUGUGACAGGGUCGAUUUUGCAUUUUUAAAAGAUCACUCUGGCCACGUUGUGGAGAAUUGAUUGGUGGGGCCAGAGUGCAGGCAGCUAGAACAGUGAGGAAGUUGAGAAACAAGAAAUAAGUGAACCAAUAAAUUUGUCAACCCUUGAAUACUUUAUUCAUGUGAGGGUCCCUCAGCCCCUUGCUCAAAGCCUUUUUCCCUCAUUUACAUCCAAUUCUAAUAAUUCAGCUGUUUGUUUUCCCGAUUUAUAGUAUAUUAAGAGUAACAAUUUAGAAACGAAUUCGGGAGUGCAGUGAGUAUUCAAGGGGGAAACACAGUGGCAAUUGUGAAAAGUGACAGCUUGAUUGUAAAGAAAGACUCACACACAAAAAACGCAUUAAAAUAUUAAAACAAACAAACUGCUCAGCGGGGUGGGACCAUUCAACGAAAAGCAAAUAGCCCUACCCCA